Molecule: long non-coding RNA, 1490 nt
Organism: Passer montanus (Eurasian tree sparrow)
Lineage: Eukaryota; Metazoa; Chordata; Aves; Passeriformes; Passeridae
Exons: 3
Source: RefSeq, a predicted model, not a curated record
GACAUAUUUAUAAAAUAUCCAGUGCAGUGCAGCUACACUCCAGGUUUAUGCCAAAUUAGGUGUUGAACCUGAAUGAAUUCGGGCAUCUGCUGCAGUGCAGAUUACAGGUCACCCUGUGACCUCACACAUGGAGGUUGGCCUCCUCCUGCUUUGUUUAAUCCAUCUACAAAAUUGAGAAAAACAAGGACCUCCAUGAAGAAACAGGAUCCAUUGCAAAGCACAUCCAGAACAGGAAGACCUUUAUUCUUUCUUACUCAUGAGAAAGAUCUGUCAAGUCAGUGAGUGGUUUGAUUGAAUGAGAGCAGUGAAACUGCUCUCUGUGGUGGAAGAUUUUUAAGAAGAGAGGUGUCGUUGUGUAUUUCUCGACGUCAGUCCAUUGUGAAUCAUGCAGACACAUCAGUGAAAAAACACAACCUGCUGCACAAGAAGCUGUGAGCAACAAGAAAUUUCGGCUGGAUGACUGCAUAAGGGCUUUGCAAGACCGCCAAUAAUUUUUUAUAUUCAGAGUUAAAUAGAGCAAUAAGAUAGAAUUUCAGGUUUAGUGCAAUGGAUUGCAGCUCUUCAGUCAAUCAAAUUAUAGUUCAAUCAGUUCAUUUUAAUCACUUCUCUGGAGAGAAGUAAACCCCUAUGUUGAAGAAUAUGCAGCAAUUUUAUUGAUGGAAAGUUUAAUUGUUUCAUUUUUCCUUACCGUCUGUAACAUACUAGACUUUUAAUCAGUGGGAACUGAAGUUAUAAUGAAGUAAAGUCCACUUUCCACAGUUCACAACUAGCUGAAAAUAAUUGGGUUGAGACUCCCAUCCAGACAGUGUAAUGCCUCUGGCAUUUUCCUGAAAACUACACUUAAUUGCUUUGCUGAUGUUGUUAAGUGGUCCUAAGGGGGAUGAAGUAGUAAAGCUGCUCACAUAUGCAGGGAAACAAUACACAAAAAAUGUCUUACAAGGUCCUUAAAGGAGGACCAACUAGUGACUAGAAGACAAUAUAUUGCACUUUUCCCCCCCUUUUGGGAAAAGUGCAAUAUAUUAUACCACAGAGAACACAGAGAAGAGGCUGAUAAAAUAAACUGGAGAUUCUAUAAACACUAUUUUUAUUUAAGGGCAGUAAGCUUGGGAGCCAAAAUACAGAAAACGUCAAGGCAGAGCUCUUGCAAUCAAACCUGCAUCUUUAGGCUAGCCCAAGUUGCUUGGCAUUUUUAUGCUGAACACUGGUGAGCUGCUGCCUGUCUUCAGCACCUUGGCCUGAGGAACAGAUGUACUCUUGUCCCCAGGGAGGGAGGACAGCUUGCUCUCUGUUCUCUAAAGUGACAGGAUGUGAGCAGCCAUGAGCUGAAAGCCUUGUCCAGGCAUCAGUGGGACCAGCACAUGUACCCUGUUAGGCUCUAAACAUAGCCAGAGAAGGAAUAACACUUUGGCAUUUCUCCUUAUUUACUGCAUUGUUAGGAGACCCUCCAUGAUUAUAUGGCAAUUGUUUAAAAUUAUGAAUUAACUGAUAAU